Long non-coding RNA from Octopus bimaculoides (California two-spot octopus), 1160 nucleotides. NCBI's taxonomy places the organism in Eukaryota, Metazoa, Mollusca, Cephalopoda, Octopoda, Octopodidae. The record is from RefSeq and is a predicted model, not a curated record.
UGAACAAGAUUUGAUUUACCCAAAUUUCUUGUCAUUUUUACUUUCUCUGUCGCGAAUAAUAAACUGGGUAUGAAACACUGAUACCAGAGAUAAAAUGAGAGCCUUCUUUUAGCAUCGAGUGGAUGACUCAACAAAAGCGAUUUCAAGCAGCAAAAGAAAGUGGAAACAAGGACGAGUAUGAUAUUUCUAUCAGAAACAAAGACGGUAGUACCUUCAACAGUUAUGAAGCUUUGGUCAUCUCAGUGAUUUUGAUGUAGAAUGGAUAUUAUUCCAGAAACUACGUAUACAUACAUACAUACAUUUGAUAGAUAGAUAGAUAGAUAGAUAGAUAGAUAGAUAGAUAGAUAGAUAGAAGUUUGCGCGGAUCUAAAAACGUCCAUUUUAUGUUGUGUCUUUUAUGUUAGCUGACACAUUGACUCGACCAUCAGUUGAGAGAAUUAGCAACAAACUCGAAUAUGAUCGACUAAACACUUGAAGACGUUGCCCAAGCAUGGCUGCAAGUCUAAUGAUUGCAGCCAGUAGAAUGAUAACCGGAUAUACAUUGCUGAGUUGCACUUGUUUUCAAACGUGGUUUAAUCGGAGAUGAUUUUGAUGGGGACUAAAACAAACUGAAUCGUUUCACUGUUUUAUCAGCCAUUAAAAACAUACACACACUGUUGUACUCACUUUUAUUUUAUUAUUAUCAUUUUGUAAUAAUUACAUGUAUAAAGGUAGUGAGCUGGCAGAAACGCUAAGCACGCCGGGCGAAAUGCUUAGCGGUGUUUCGUCUGCCGUUACGUUCUGAGUUCAAAUUCCGCUGAGGUCGACUUUGCCUUUCAUCCUUUCGGGUCGAUAAAUUAAGUACCAGUUACGCAUUGGAGUUGAUGUAAUCGACUUAAUCCCUUUGUCUGUCCUUGUUUUCCCCUCCAUGUUUAGCCCCUUGUAGGCAAUAAAGAAAUAAGAAACGUUAGCACGCCGGGCGAAAUGCUUAGCGGUAUUUCGUCUGUCGUUACGCUCUGAGUUCGAAUUCCGCCGUUCUGGAACGUUCUGUUACGCACAAGGACUGGUUCAUGCAUUUGCUUUCCGAAUGUGAUAUUCAAAGUGUGACUAUUCUUUAUUGUUUCUUUACUGUUGUACUUUUUUUCUUCUGUGAUUCAGUUAUUCUUUUUAUUGUGGUUAAA